AAUGUCUAGCGGCGGACGGGUGAGUAACGCGUGAGCAACCUGUCCCUUACAGGGGGAUAACACAGCGAAAGUGUACUAAUACCGCAUAAGACCACAGAGUCACAUGGCUUAGGGGGUCAAAGGAGCAAUCCCGGUAAGGGGUGGGCUCGCGUCCGAUUUAGAUAGUUGGUGAGGUAACGGCCCACCAAGUCGACGAUCGGUAGCCGACCUGAGAGGGUGAUCGGCCACAUUGGGACUGAGACACGGCCCAAACUCCUACGGGAGGCAGCAGUGGGGAAUAUUGGGCAAAUGGGGGAAACCCUGACCCAGCAACGCCGCGUGAGGGAAGAAGGUUUUCGGAUCGUAAACCUCUGUCCUUGGUGAAGAGAGAGAGACGGUAGCCAAGGAGGAAGCCCCGGCUAACUACGUGCCAGCCGCCGC
Molecule: ribosomal RNA, 420 nt
Filed under: uncultured bacterium
Lineage: Bacteria
Description: bacterial SSU rRNA
Rfam family: Bacterial small subunit ribosomal RNA
Source: RNAcentral